ACGUGGGCAACCUGCCUGUAAGACUGGGAUAACUUCGGGAAACCGAAGCUAAUACCGGAUAGGAUCUUCUCCUUCAUGGGAGAUGAUUGAAAGAUGGUUUCGGCUAUCACUUACAGAUGGGCCCGCGGUGCAUUAGCUAGUUGGUGAGGUAACGGCUCACCAAGGCAACGAUGCAUAGCCGACCUGAGAGGGUGAUCGGCCACACUGGGACUGAGACACGGCCCAGACUCCUACGGGAGGCAGCAGUAGGGAAUCUUCCGCAAUGGACGAAAGUCUGACGGAGCAACGCCGCGUGAGUGAUGAAGGCUUUCGGGUCGUAAAACUCUGUUGUUAGGGAAGAACAAGUACAAGAGUAACUGCUUGUACCUUGACGGUACCUAACCAGAAAGCCACGGCUAACUACGUGCCAGCAGCCGCGGUAAUACGUAGGUGGCAAGCGUUAUCCGGAAUUAUUGGGCGUAAAGCGCGCGCAGGCGGUUUCUUAAGUCUGAUGUGAAAGCCCACGGCUCAACCGUGGAGGGUCAUUGGAAACUGGGGAACUUGAGUGCAGAAGAGAAAAGCGGAAUUCCACGUGUAGCGGUGAAAUGCGUAGAGAUGUGGAGGAACACCAGUGGCGAAGGCGGCUUUUUGGUCUGUAACUGACGCUGAGGCGCGAAAGCGUGGGGAGCAAACAGG
RNAcentral lists this ribosomal RNA (675 nucleotides) under Bacillus sp. (in: firmicutes). RNAcentral's name for it is "bacterial SSU rRNA". It matches the Rfam family "Bacterial small subunit ribosomal RNA", at positions 115 to 776 of the family's 1533-position model. The record is from RNAcentral. Lineage: Bacteria; Bacillati; Bacillota; Bacilli; Caryophanales; Bacillaceae.